This 408-nucleotide ribosomal RNA is filed under the name uncultured bacterium. RNAcentral's name for it is "partial 16S ribosomal RNA". It matches the Rfam family "Bacterial small subunit ribosomal RNA", at positions 28 to 526 of the family's 1533-position model. The record is from RNAcentral.
GACGAACGCUGGCGGCGUGCCUAAUACAUGCAAGUGAGGGCUAGCGGCGGAUGGGUGAGUAACGCGUGGGUGACCUGCCCUGCACUUCGGGAUAAGCCUGGGAAACUGGGUCUAAUACCGGAUAGUGUGGGAUGGGCCCGCGGCCUAUCAGCUUGUUGGUGGGGUAAUGGCCUACCAAGGCGGCGACGGGUAGCCGGCCUGAGAGGGUGGACGGCCACAUUGGGACUGAGACACGGCCCAGACUCCUACGGGAGGCAGCAGUGGGGAAUAUUGCACAAUGGGCGGAAGCCUGAUGCAGCGACGCCGCGUGGGGGAUGACGGCCUUCGGGUUGUAAACUCCUUUCACCAUCGACGCGGUAGAUGGAGAAGAAGCACCGGCUAACUACGUGCCAGCCGCCGCGGUAAUUC